AGUCAGUGAACGCGCUGCCUUGCCUUCAUCUAGGGCUGUCAGUUCCUGCUGCCUGUUCCUGUUCUGGGCGCGUCCGCGGCUGGGACGGAUUGCGCGUUAAAACGGAAGCAACAUGUGUGGUGAACAAUGCUGGUAGAUUCCAUGUCACCCACAACUGGAUUUGGAUAAAGUGAAACCGCAGGAGCCAGCUGAAAGAGUGCAAAGCUGGGACACGCACAAUGUGGCGAGACACGCAUGAGCGGCCUGCUGUUGUCAGUCAAACGUGUCGCAUUCGCUUGGUUCGGCGAGAAGUUCCACUGAAGGCUGAUGGAACUAAGACCGCAGCGGUGUGGGUUCAAGAACAGGGCGUGCAUCGUCUAAUGGCACGGUCUGACUGCAAGAGUUAGACAAGCCUCCUACUCAGUUCCUGAGGCGACCACGCAACAAGGUUGAAAACUGUCCAGCUGGGUUCUGCUUGCAAAGAGGAGGACUAGUACAGCCCAGUCAUAGUGGUUCAAAUUGUCAUCGACAGUGCCAAGGACAACUUACCCCUCAUAAUGUGCUCACUGAUUCCACUGUGGAACCAGCCCGCUCCGGAAAAAGUCUUGGUCCAAACUUGGAUCGAAGUGCGGAGUUUUAAAUUCACUGCAAUUACUCCCCAGGUAACACCUCUCCCAAAGCGGACACAUCUCCCUUCAGGAAGGACAAGCGCAAAAGGAGCAUGGGAACAUCAUCAUCUUCUCUCUCUCUCUCUCACUCUCACUCUCACU
Long non-coding RNA from Pristis pectinata (smalltooth sawfish), 749 nucleotides. RefSeq lists it as uncharacterized. The record is from RefSeq and is a predicted model, not a curated record. Lineage: Eukaryota; Metazoa; Chordata; Chondrichthyes; Rhinopristiformes; Pristidae. The transcript is spliced from 3 exons.